RNAcentral lists this ribosomal RNA (599 nucleotides) under uncultured bacterium. RNAcentral describes it as "bacterial SSU rRNA". It matches the Rfam family "Bacterial small subunit ribosomal RNA", at positions 338 to 916 of the family's 1533-position model. The record is from RNAcentral.
CCUACGGGAGGCAGCAGUGGGGAAUUUUGGACAAUGGGCGAAAGCCUGAUCCAGCCAUUCCGCGUGCAGGAUGAAGGCCCUCGGGUUGUAAACUGCUUUUGUACAGAACGAAAAGGUUUCUAUUAAUACUAGGAGCUCAUGACGGUACUGUAAGAAUAAGCACCGGCUAACUACGUGCCAGCAGCCGCGGUAAUACGUAGGGUGCAAGCGUUAAUCGGAAUUACUGGGCGUAAAGCGUGCGCAGGCGGUUAUAUAAGUCAGAUGUGAAAUCCCCGGGCUCAACCUGGGAACUGCAUUUGAGACUGUAUAGCUAGAGUACGGUAGAGGGGGAUGGAAUUCCGCGUGUAGCAGUGAAAUGCGUAGAUAUGCGGAGGAACACCGACUGGCGAAGGCGAAUACCCCUCGGACCUGUACUGACGCUCAUGCACGAAAGACGUGGGGAGGCAAACAGGAUUAGAUACCUGGUAGUCCACGCCCUAAACGAAUGUCAACUGGUUGUUGGGUCGUUAACUGACUCAGUAACGAAGCUAACGACGUGAAGUUGACCGCCUCGGGGAGGUACGGCCGCGAAGGUUGAAACGUACAAAUAGAAUUGACGG